RNAcentral lists this ribosomal RNA (1094 nucleotides) under uncultured bacterium. RNAcentral describes it as "bacterial SSU rRNA". It matches the Rfam family "Bacterial small subunit ribosomal RNA", at positions 33 to 1141 of the family's 1533-position model. The record is from RNAcentral.
AGGCAGUGGCGGGUGCUUACCAUGCAGUCGACGGUAAGGCCCUUCGGGGUACACGAGUGGCGAACGGGUGAGUAACACGUGGGUGAUCUGCCCUGCACUUUGGGAUAAGCCUGGGAAACUGGGUCUAAUACCGAAUAGGACUCCGGACUGCAUGGUCUGGGGUGGAAAGCUUUUGCGGUGUGGGAUGGGCCCGCGGCCUAUCAGCUUGUUGGUGGGGUGAUGGCCUACCAAGGCGACGACGGGUAGCCGGCCUGAGAGGGUGACCGGCCACACUGGGACUGAGAUACGGCCCAGACUCCUACGGGAGGCAGCAGUGGGGAAUAUUGCACAAUGGGCGCAAGCCUGAUGCAGCGACGCCGCGUGGGGGAUGACGGCCUUCGGGUUGUAAACCUCUUUCAGCACAGACGAAGCGCAAGUGACGGUAUGUGCAGAAGAAGGACCGGCCAGCUACGUGCCAGCAGCCGCGGUAAUACGUAGGGUCCGAGCGUUGUCCGGAAUUACUGGGCGUAAAGAGCUCGUAGGUGGUUUGUCGUGUUGCUCGUGAAAACUCACAACUCAAUUGUGGGCGUGCGGGCGAUACGGGCAGACUGGAGUACUGCAGGGGAGACUGGAAUUCCUGGUGUAGCGGUGGAAUGCGCAGAUAUCAGGAGGAACACCGGUGGCGAAGGCGGGUCUCUGGGCAGUAACUGACGCUGAGGAGCGAAAGCGUGGGGAGCGAACAGGAUUAGAUACCCUGGUAGUCCACGCCGUAAACGGUGGGUACUAGGGUGUGGGUUUCCUUCCUUGGGAUCCGUGCCGUAGCUAACGCAUUAAGUACCCCGCCUGGGGAGUACGGCCGCAAGGCUAAAACUCAAAGAAAUUGACGGGGGCCCGCACAAGCGGCGGAGCAUGUGGAUUAAUUCGAUGCAACGCGAAGAACCUUACCUGGGUUUGACAUGCACAGGACGCCGGCAAAGAUGUCGGUUCCCUUGUGGCCUGUGUGCAGGUGGUGCAUGGCUGUCGUCAGCUCGUGUCCUGAAAAUGUUGGGGUUAAGUCCCGCAACGAAGCGCAACCCUUGUCCUAUGUUGCCACCGGGGUUAUGCCCGGGGACUCG